Molecule: long non-coding RNA, 350 nt
Filed under: Brassica napus (rape)
Lineage: Eukaryota; Viridiplantae; Streptophyta; Magnoliopsida; Brassicales; Brassicaceae
Description: long non-coding RNA (BNAP_LNC006236)
Source: RNAcentral
GUACACAUUGUUUUGGGUCUAUACCAUGGAGCUUCGAGUUACGAUUUCAGAAUCUUGUAGCCAGAGAUUACUCAGAAGAAGCAUAUAAAAAUGGUUCCAUCAAGGUUUUGCCGAUGAGGUAUCUCAACUCGAUCUCACCGGAGAAUCUUGUUCUUUUAAUGUAAAGAACACAUACAAAGAAGAAAAUUUGGAUUGUAUUAGCUUUACUAAGUUUAACACUGAUACGUUUGGUAUUUGGCACAAUAGCAGCACAGAAAUUCAUCCGACACUGUAAGAGAACUGACCAAUUCCCAAUUGCUGAUAUCUUCAGAGGUCCAUGAGCUUUCAUAAAUGACUGCAGGAAGUCAUCG